This 937-nucleotide long non-coding RNA is filed under the name Vigna radiata. RNAcentral describes it as "long non-coding RNA (VRAD_LNC013274)". The record is from RNAcentral. Lineage: Eukaryota; Viridiplantae; Streptophyta; Magnoliopsida; Fabales; Fabaceae.
GACUGGGAAAAUGAUAAAAUUCGACACUGUUAACUUAGCACGAAAGCAAAUAAUAAGAAGACGAAAUAACAUGUUGAAGAAAAACUAAGUGAUUAUAUUGGAAGGUAAAUUUGGGGUAUAAAAAAGAGUGUGUCGAUGUGUCAGUGAAGCAAACACUGGAAUGUAAAAAUGUUUGUCGCCCGUGUAGACCUUCCAAAAUACUUAUAAAAUUCCAAAAUGAAAAGUAAUUUUUCUCCCCCAACCUAUGAUGUUAACCCCCAGGCUAAUUUACUAAUCAUCCCCAGCCUCGCCAUCAGCCUCCUCUUCGGCGUCGGCCUCAUCACAUGUUGGCCUUCCUCUUCAGCAGGUGGCUCCUCCACUCUUAGUUGGUCACCCAUGUCCAUUGGAGCUUCGAGUUGAACCAAGACGCCACUAAUGAUGUACUUCUUAAUGUCAAACCUGACAGCAUAUGGCUUGGCAACCCCCUAGCAAAACAUAUGCUUGUCGUAGGGCCUUGUUGAAACCUUCUUUGUGUUCAAACACGACACCCGCGUUUAGUUCAGUGGUCCUCUCCUUGGCCCGCUCGAAGUCGUCCGUCAGAACCUGAUUCUUCUUGAGGAGUCCCUCCACAAUCUCCUUUUGCCUAGCAAAACAAUAAAUUUUACACAUAAAUGGUUGGCACCAAAUGUCACACCACAACAACAUUAUUAGGUCAUUGAUCAUGAACUCAAUGUAACAAUAUCCAAGUUCUUCCGACAAAUCUAAGACAUUAUUCACGCCGCCAUCAAAAGGGUUAGAAAUUUAUGUCGGCGUGAUCUUAAACAUGUUAAGUUGUAUUUAUUGAAGCUUAUUCAACUCUUAAGAGCCUAUGUAGAACAUCAUAAGAUUGUUUCCUUCUCCUUUGCACAUUCUUCACUACAAAUAGGUAAGUACUUCAUUAUUGUCCCUAUUUUCAUUC